GAGGGAAUGAAGUCAGCUGCUGAACAAAUGAGGAGUAGAAAACGGGAUUCCCCAGGUGGCUGGGGCUGGUGAGGACGGUGCAGGAGGAUACAUGGCAGAGCGCGGGGCAGGGGUGGCAUGUGUGGCGACCCCGUACUUGCCCAUGGGGGCCACCAGCGCUGUCACUUUACUGGUGUGGACUGGGAGCGAGGUAUUCAAGUCCUGCCCUCAAUUCUCAAGAGGAUGGACACUGCUCUCGUGGAGGUGUGGAGCAGAUUCCUCAGCAGCAGUGAGACUUGGAGCCCUGAGAUAGAUAAACUGAGACAAGGUGGAGCUGCCCGAGCCCCUCUCAGACCAUGCUUCAAGUGUGACAAAGAAGGACAUUGGACAAGAGAGUGCCCCAACCCCAGUGUUCUUCUGGGGCCUUGCCCCUAUUGCAAUUGUAAAGGCCAUUGAAAAAGCAACGGACUGUCCUACCACCAGAGAGCAGGUAAGCCAUCCUCUAACUCCUUGCCUUCACAGGAAAUCUUGUCACCACCGGAUUCAUCACUGGCUGAUCUACUUGGACGUGCUGCUGAAGACUGAUGGGGCUCAGGGCCCACAGUCCUCCAUUAAGAUAUCCUUCUCAGAGUCCCAAAUCCCACUGGAGGUCUCAGGUAAGACAUUCUCUGUAGUUGCGGACAUAGAGGCCAUAUAUAGUGUUCUUCCUGAGUUUUCAGGCUGCUAUAUUAAGCCCUCAGUCUCUAUAGUGGGUGAUGAUGGCCAACCAACACAGCCUUUGCAGACAGGACCUAUUCCAGGUUCCAGACUCACUUCUUCUCUGGUCUAUCCCAUAGUUUGAGAUAUCUCUAAUCCCACCUGCACUACCCAUGCCAUGCCUAUUUUAAUUAAUCUCAGGGAUCCUUCAAUUUUUCCUUGCAUUCCCCAAUACCCCACAGCUCCCAAGCUUUUACAGGUCCUUAAACCUAUAAUCAAGCACAUUUUAGACAAUGGUUUUCUUAAACCUCCCAUUCACCCUAUAAUACUCCCAUUCCCCUGGUAUUCAAGCCUGAUGGGUCUUAUCAUCUAGUGCAAGAACUUGGGGGUAAUAAAUAAUGCCAUUACCCCAAUCCAGCCAGUAGUCCAAGCCCUUAUACGAUGCUCUCUCAUAUCCCUCCCUCUACCACUAACUUUACAGUCAUAGAUCUUAAAAAUGUCUUUUUUUUUAUUCCUUUGUGUUUAUGCAGACUGACCCAGAUACUCUGAGGUCUCAACAACUUACACCUGUCAUCUCUAUAAGAAACCUCUCCCUAGGGAGACAUACCACCCCCUUCUUUUCCUAUUCAUCAAUUUCACAGACACACUCCUGGUCAGGACUGACAGGUAGAUUUUACACACAUGCCCACCACAAAACUCAAAUAUCUUCUCACCUUUGUUUGUCCUUUUCCAGGAUAGAUAAAAGCCUUUCCCACAACCAGGAAGACUGGUGAUUUACUUACUAAAGUCCUGUUAACAGGAAAUCAUCCCAAGGACUACAACUAAGGUGGAGCAGCCCCUACUUGAUCUUCUUGGCAACUACAACAGUGGUCACAGUUGCUGGACUGCCAUCCUGGUUCUACAUCACUCAAGCUAAGUGGUGCCCUCCCUGCCCUAAAUCUAAGCAUCCUGAGUGGUCAUCUCAUCUUCUAUCUCCCACCCAUCUCUGUCUCACCAAGGCCUCACAGCCACAACUCUCGGGUUAAGUCAUGUUUUGUUGUCCUGUUUGGUCCCUGAUGCCUUACAUUCUAUUGGUGAAUUUUUUCACUAUAACUAUCUUAGUUCUCUCCACCCUCAGCUGUUUAGUUAAACAUGAGACUCCUGUAGGUCUAAGAUCUCAUGUCACUUAUAGUGACACAGCCAUAGCCCUCCCACCCCUCUUAUUUUUUCCAGCUCAAGCCCUACAUACCUACUUUUUAACUGUUACCCUUUCAGAUGGAGACAGAAUGACCUCUCAUAACUUCACUCCUCCUAAUCCCUCACUUAUUUUUCAGAAUUCUCCCUCACUGUGGUCCUGAUGGAAUGGCAUAGUGAAACCUUUCCUUCUACCUCACCUGGAUCCUUAAAUAUGAUAGUGGCCUGCCUUCUCGUGGCACCUUGUCUCUUUGUUUUUCCAGUCUAAGAUGAAGGCAUUCACCAAUGAUGAAGUUUUCCUGCCUGAAACACCUGGCACCAGCUUCUACAUGGGCAUCAACAAUCAUCCUGUCAACCUUCCUGAACCCCAAUAUGACACCCCAUUCAGCAAGAAGUAGUAAGACAGAGACUUCACCCUUUUCCUAACAAUAAAAUGAUGGGAAUGAAAGGUUCUUGCCCUAGUAUAAAUUACUAUAUAGUUAUGGCCGUGGUCUAAUGUGGUGGAAGGCCAAAGCAGAAACACCUACCACUUCCUGCUUUUUCCUCAGCCUCAAUUGUAACUCCCCUUCCUGUCUGCAUUCGAAGAAAACUCCAAUCAUCUCAUGCAUCAUCAAUACCCACCCUAAGCACCACCCCUGCUCAAAGGUUACAUUUGUCCCAUACCCCCAUUAUCUGGUCGAAGGAGGCAGCCUCCAUGGGUUUUGUGCUCCUUUCCAUGUUCUCAUUUCAAUAAAGUUGUUCUCUUUGCA
Molecule: long non-coding RNA, 2597 nt
Organism: Cavia porcellus (domestic guinea pig)
Lineage: Eukaryota; Metazoa; Chordata; Mammalia; Rodentia; Caviidae
Exons: 2
Source: RefSeq, a predicted model, not a curated record